Molecule: long non-coding RNA, 1086 nt
Filed under: Ananas comosus (pineapple)
Lineage: Eukaryota; Viridiplantae; Streptophyta; Magnoliopsida; Poales; Bromeliaceae
Description: long non-coding RNA (ACOM_LNC034876)
Source: RNAcentral
UUCGGUAAGCAUGAGGGUCGCAUUCUUAUUUGUGGAUGGGAACCAUGUUUCAUUUAGUGGAAAUGGUUAGUGCAAUGCAUCUUGGGACUUGGAACUCAUGCUCGGCAUAGAUGCUUAUAAAUGUCAUUAAGUGGCACUAGAUUCGAGAGAUGUAAGGUAUACUAAGCUAAUGUCAUAAAGGGGCAUUAGCCUUGAAUGAUAUGUGAAUUGCAUGUGCAUGUUAACAUUAUGAGAACUAUGCUAAGUUGAUAGUUGCAUACGGACGCAUUAAAACCUUAUGCUAGUGGAUAGAUGCAUGUUAACAUUUAUAUGCAUUGUGGAAUACAUGAUAGGAACAUAUUAGCAAUGUGGGAUCACGCUAGGGGGCAUGCGUAUUAACCUAUUAUAUGAUAUGGUAAGCUAAUGUCAUAAAGAGACAUCGGGCUUGGAUUUGACAUAGUAAGCUAAUGUCAUAAAAAGGCAUUAGGCUUAGAAUACAUAUGGACUUAGUAAGCCAAGGUCAAUGACAUGUGAAUUUGGGAGCUAAUGUCAUAAAGCGGCAUUGAGCUUGGGUUAUGGUGAACCUAGUGGAUAGGGCCAUUGAGAGAUUCAGAAUUAGAACAUGCUUGAACAUAGAAAUGUCUUAGCGUCAUAAAGGGGCACUAGACCUAGUGAAUGUUGGAAUUUCACAUUGAGUUAUAGAACUAGAUCAUUGGAUGCUAGUGGCUAUUACCAUGUUAGAGACAUGAUGAUUGGACUCUUGAGAUGUUGACUACGCUUGCUUGCCAUUUGUGCUCAUUCGCACAUGCUUGUGAGGGUCGCUCCCUAUAAGCCGGCACUCCGAAGUUGGCCUGCACGACUUAUGCUCGCUCGUGCGGUAUCGAGAAGCCUACGGGGUCGGGAGGGAUAGACUCAUUCCUAGAGUGGGAAUGUUGGAGCUACCACCGGCACUUAGGCGGCACAAGCCGGACUACACUUGUGUAGGUCCUAAAUGAGAUUAAACCAGAAUAUUAAACAACAAGUUGAUAAUCACUACUAGACAGGUUAUAGUAGUUGGAUUCGGGACAUGCUAUCGCAUACGGUUGAACUUUUGGAUAUAUAGUAUAC